GGCCUACCAAUGCUUACUACAUGCUGUGUUCUUUACACUGGCUGUAUAGAAGAGGAGAUACAGUAAAUGCUCCCCAUGCACACCUCAAACCAUGCCCUAUGCCUGGACUGUUCUGUGAAUGGGUAGAAAAAA
Small nucleolar RNA from Suncus etruscus (white-toothed pygmy shrew), 132 nucleotides. RefSeq annotates it as small nucleolar RNA SNORA51. The record is from RefSeq and is a predicted model, not a curated record. The transcript has a single exon. NCBI's taxonomy places the organism in Eukaryota, Metazoa, Chordata, Mammalia, Eulipotyphla, Soricidae.